RNAcentral lists this transfer RNA (69 nucleotides) under Lasmigona compressa (creek heelsplitter). RNAcentral's name for it is "tRNA-Lys". Lineage: Eukaryota; Metazoa; Mollusca; Bivalvia; Unionida; Unionidae. The record is from RNAcentral.
AUCCAUGAUGGCCGAGAUACAAGGCAUCGAGCUUUUAACUCGACUACAGUUAAUCUAUACUUCAGGAUG